This 196-nucleotide ribosomal RNA is filed under the name uncultured bacterium. RNAcentral's name for it is "partial 16S ribosomal RNA". It matches the Rfam family "Bacterial small subunit ribosomal RNA", at positions 326 to 539 of the family's 1533-position model. The record is from RNAcentral.
ACGCUCGACACCUACGGAGGAGCAGUGGGGGAUAUUGCACAAUGGGGGAAACCCUGAUGCAGCAACGCCGCGUGAAGGAAGAAGGUCUUCGGAUUGUAAACUUCUGUCCUCAGGGAAGAUAAUGACGGUACCUGAGGAGGAAGCUCCGGCUAACUACGUGCCAGCAGCCGCGGUAAUCUGAGCGGGCUGGCAAGGC